UUCUAAUGACGGCUGCCGCAUACUCUCUCUCAUUCUUAAUCUUUUCUCCAGUUCUCUUUAUUCUUGUUUCAAAUUAAGAAUCCAAAUUCUCAAAGGUAUCGGGCUUCUUAAAUAUGGGGUUUCUUAACUGCAAUUCUCUAUUUUUUCUUGCAAAAGAUUGGAUUAAUCUCACAAAUCUUAACUCUCAAGACAUCGUCCAGGUUAGUUUCAUUUUUUUUUCAUUUAUUUGUUUAUUACUUGGCGUUUGAUAGAUUGUAUGAUUCUUGAGGUCUGCAAUUUUUGGUAGUUUUAUUUUUAUUGUUCGAUUUUUCUUUGAAGAGCAAUUUGUCUAUUUCAGUUUUUUUUUCUUUUUCUUUUGUGGGUAAGAAUUUGAAUGCCAUGAGAGAAAACCAGUGCAGAAAGCUAAUUUACUUGAUCAACUAUUAUGUCACAAAACUCAGGAUUCAAUUCCUAUUUUUGGUAUUGUAUGUGUACUUCACUUUUGUUGAUUAUGUACUGGAAAAUUCUUGAAGUACUUUGCACUAAAAUAUAUAAUUUAUUUUGGCUGCUCUUAUCCAUUAGGAAUACUCAAGAACAUAAUCUUUAUACUAGGCCGACAAACGAUGUUAGGGACACUAUUUAGUGGAUUUUCCAAAAUAUUGCAACAGGCUACACUUGCAAUUUUUGUGCCUAUUCCAGAGCAUGAUGAUCAAAUUGCGUGGCUUGAAAAUUCUUCAGGGAUGUUUACCGUAAAGGAUGCUAUGAAAACAUUCCGGCCCGAGGUACCGCUGUACAUUGAAGUAGUUUAGUAUGGUAUGAAAAUCACAUUCCUAGACAUGUUUUUAUAUUGUGUUUGGUAUGUAACAAAGACUUAGUACGCUGGAUUAGAGGAAAUGCGGUGUUCUCAGUUGGGGAAAAAUUCCUAGAACUCGUGCAAUAUUCAGAUUAAUUGUUCUUAUUCACUGGUUGUAGCAAGAAAAGGGGAGCCUGCAUGUUUGUGAGUUCUCAGAUUGUAAAAAGCCUCCAAAGGAUCCUACAUACAGUUUGCUAUGAUAUUUAUAUUACCUACUACUGUUAGCCUGUUACUUGACAUAGUUGGAUCUUUAAGUGCUUUUAUGUACUCUUUUUCCAGGCAGAAUGUUCUGCGAUACACUUGUUGUAUU
Molecule: long non-coding RNA, 1142 nt
Filed under: Coffea arabica (coffee)
Lineage: Eukaryota; Viridiplantae; Streptophyta; Magnoliopsida; Gentianales; Rubiaceae
Description: long non-coding RNA (CARA_LNC000047)
Source: RNAcentral